UACGUAGGAUGCAAGCGUUGUCCGGAUUUAUUGGGUUUAAAGGGGGCGUAGGCGGCCUAUUAAGUUAGUGGUGAAAACGUUCGGCUUAACCGGAUACCCGCCAUUGAUAGUGAUAGACUUGAGUGCGACAGAGGGUGUUGGAAUGUGUGGUGUAGCGGUGAAAUGCUUAGAUAUCACGCAGAACACCAAUUGCGAAGGCAGAUGCCUAUGUCGUAACUGACGCUGAGGCUCGAAAGCGUGGGGAGCAAACAGG
Molecule: ribosomal RNA, 253 nt
Filed under: uncultured bacterium
Lineage: Bacteria
Description: partial 16S ribosomal RNA
Rfam family: Bacterial small subunit ribosomal RNA
Source: RNAcentral